Molecule: long non-coding RNA, 210 nt
Filed under: Apteryx owenii (little spotted kiwi)
Lineage: Eukaryota; Metazoa; Chordata; Aves; Apterygiformes; Apterygidae
Description: lncRNA (ENSAOWG00000000151.1)
Source: RNAcentral
AUGGGGCAGACUCAACGUUCAGGCUGUGGAGGGAGCUCAGCAUGCUGGAAGGUCUGUUGGAUGGAGCAUUUCCUCUUCCCAGAGUCCUGCUGCAGCAAGAACUGCUGGUGUCUGGUUUACCUCCUAGGACUUGUACGGAGAAAGGAUGUUCAGAGCACCUUCACUGGAAGAGAGAAAGCAGAAGCGCCGUUGCACAUGCCCCGCUGCUUG